This 252-nucleotide ribosomal RNA is filed under the name uncultured bacterium. Its description in RNAcentral is "partial 16S ribosomal RNA". It matches the Rfam family "Bacterial small subunit ribosomal RNA", at positions 524 to 776 of the family's 1533-position model. The record is from RNAcentral.
UACGUAGGUCCCGAGCGUUGUCCGGAUUUAUUGGGCGUAAAGCGAGCGCAGGUAGUUUAUUAAGUCUGGUGUAAAAGGCAGUGGCUCAACCAUUGUAUGCAUUGGAAACUGGUAGACUUGAGUGCAGGAGAGGAGAGUGGAAUUCCAUGUGUAGCGGUGAAAUGCAUAGAUAUAUGGAGGAACACCGGUGGCGAAAGCGGCUCUCUGGCCUGUAACUGACACUGAGGCUCGAAAGCGUGGGGAGCAAACAGG